Molecule: ribosomal RNA, 330 nt
Filed under: Pseudo-nitzschia fraudulenta
Lineage: Eukaryota; Bacillariophyta; Bacillariophyceae; Bacillariales; Bacillariaceae
Description: partial Bacterial small subunit ribosomal RNA
Rfam family: Bacterial small subunit ribosomal RNA
Source: RNAcentral
GUGACGGUACCGUGGAGAAGAAGCACCGGCUAACUACGUGCCAGCAGCCGCGGUAAUACGUAGGGUCCGAGCGUUGUCCGGAAUUAUUGGGCGUAAAGGGCUCGUAGGCGGUUUGUCGCGUCGGGAGUGAAAACACCGGGCUUAACUCGGUGCUUGCUUUCGAUACGGGCAGACUAGAGGCAUUCAGGGGAGAACGGAAUUCCUGGUGUAGCGGUGAAAUGCGCAGAUAUCAGGAGGAACACCGAUGGCGAAGGCAGGUCACUGGGCCGCAACUGACGCUGAGGAGCGAAAGCAUGGGGAGCGAACAGGAUUAGAUACCCUGGUAGUCCA